This 253-nucleotide ribosomal RNA is filed under the name uncultured bacterium. RNAcentral's name for it is "partial 16S ribosomal RNA". It matches the Rfam family "Bacterial small subunit ribosomal RNA", at positions 524 to 776 of the family's 1533-position model. The record is from RNAcentral.
CACGUAGGGCGCAAGCGUUGUCCGGAAUUAUUGGGCGUAAAGAGCUCGUAGGUGGUUUGUUACGUCUGCUGUGAAAACCUAGGGCUUAACCCUGGGCUUGCAGUGGGUACGGGCAGACUAGAGUGCGGUAGGGGAGACUGGAAUUCCUGGUGUAGCGGUGAAAUGCGCAGAUAUCAGGAGGAACACCGGUGGCGAAGGCGGGUCUCUGGGCCGUAACUGACGCUGAGGAGCGAAAGCGUGGGGAGCGAACAGG